Molecule: long non-coding RNA, 275 nt
Organism: Chelonia mydas (Green sea turtle)
Lineage: Eukaryota; Metazoa; Chordata; Testudines; Cheloniidae
Exons: 4
Source: RefSeq, a predicted model, not a curated record
ACCUGUAUCAACACUCUUUCCCUACAGACGUCCUUCCCUCCUCGGCGGUCCCCCUUCCGCCCUCCCUGGGGCCCCCUCGUGGGCGUCCGCGGGCCGCCUCAGGCCGCACAAGUCUUUGAACCACCGCCUUCCCCGGGCCGCGAGGCUCGCGGAGAGCGCUAGGUACCUGGCUCCUGGGUGAGGGAAACGGUUCCGAUCCCUCUGGGGCGUCCCUCCCCGCCGCCGCCACCCUUCCCCGCCUACCCGGGCGGGCAGGCGGGUCGAGCGACGGACGG